GGGCCCGUAGCUCAGCUGGUUAGAGCGCACGCCUGAUAAGCGUGAGGUCGGUGGUUCGAGUCCACUCGGGCCCA
This 74-nucleotide transfer RNA is filed under the name Lactobacillales bacterium. RNAcentral describes it as "tRNA-Ile". It matches the Rfam family "tRNA". Rfam says of the family: Transfer RNA (tRNA) molecules are approximately 80 nucleotides in length. Their secondary structure includes four short double-helical elements and three loops (D, anti-codon, and T loops). The record is from RNAcentral. Lineage: Bacteria; Bacillati; Bacillota; Bacilli; Lactobacillales.